UGGAUUUUUAGAUGGGGAUUAUCUGACUGGUACAUAUAUUUGGGUUUUUGCAGUCAUGAGAAUAUGUACUUUGUUGUAGUGAUCUUAUUAUUAACAUAAAGUUAUUUUCUUUUUCUAGUUACCGGGAAGACUCUGGCUGAAAAUGCCGCAAGUUUCCCUCCCUUGGCCACAGGGCAGGAUAUAAUAAGAUCUGUGGAAAACCCCAUAAAGAAAACAGGCCAUAUCCAAAUAUUAUAUGGAAAUCUUGCACCAAAUGGUUCCGUAGCAAAAAUCACUGGAAAAGAGGGGUUUUAUUUAUCUGGCCCUGCACUUAUCUUUGAAGGGGAGGAAUCUAUGAUUGCAGCUAUCUCAAAGGAUUCUUCGAGUUUUAAGGUAUGUGUUCUAGUCAAUAUUGUUGUAUAAUGCUCAAAUGGCACCUGAUUCGCUUACAAGAGCAAGGUGGAGGGUAAGAUCGUGGCUUUAAGGUCCACGGGGUACACAUAUAACUUACCAAUAAAAAAAGGUCAGAAACCAAGGUUACUUGAUUGAAUGCAAAGGUUUGGAGAAAACUGGGUCUCUGUUAUACCUCAUAGUUAACUUGGUUAUGAAAAUUUUUGCCCCUUUUAUCAAAACUUAAAGGAAAGAGGGGGGAAAACAAAACCUUCUUGUAUACAUGAGUUGCAACACCUAUUGUAUAUUUUCAAUGACAUGAUUUAAUUAAAAAAACAAAGAAAAAGAAAGAAAAGACUUGGAUUAUUAGGCUUGUUUCUUAGUGAAAAAAGAGCAUCAUAGCUGAGCACUGUUCUCCCCGAAAUAUGAUU
Long non-coding RNA from Quercus robur (English oak), 800 nucleotides. RefSeq lists it as uncharacterized. NCBI's taxonomy places the organism in Eukaryota, Viridiplantae, Streptophyta, Magnoliopsida, Fagales, Fagaceae. The record is from RefSeq and is a predicted model, not a curated record. The transcript is spliced from 3 exons.